This 468-nucleotide ribosomal RNA is filed under the name uncultured bacterium. RNAcentral's name for it is "partial 16S ribosomal RNA". It matches the Rfam family "Bacterial small subunit ribosomal RNA", at positions 28 to 507 of the family's 1533-position model. The record is from RNAcentral.
GACGAACGCUGGCGGCGUGCUUAACACAUGCAAGUCGAACGGAAAGGCCCUGCUUUUGUGGGGUGCUCGAGUGGCGAACGGGUGAGUAACACGUGAGUAACCUGCCCUUGACUUUGGGAUAUCUUCAGGAAACUGGGGCUAAUACCGGGUAGGAGCUCCUGCUGCACGGUGGGGGUUGGAAAGUUUCGGCGGUUGGGGCUGGACUCGCGGCUUAUCAGCUUGUUGGUGGGGUAGUGGCUUACAAAGUUUUUGACGGGUAGCCGGCCUGAGAGGGUGACCGGCCACAUUGGGACUGAGAUACGGCCCAGACUCCUACGGGAGGCAGCAGUGGGGAAUAUUGCACAAUGGGCGGAAGCGUGAUGCAGCAACGCCGCGUGCGGGAUGACGUCCUUCGGGUUGUAAACCGCUUUCGCCGGUGACGAAGCGUGAGUGACGGUAAUGGGUAAAGAAGCACCGGCUAACUACGUG